UACGUAGGGUGCAAGCGUUGUCCGGAAUUAUUGGGCGUAAAGGAGCUCGUAGGCGGUUUGUUGCGUCGGCUGUGAAAUCCCGAGGCUCAACCUCGGGUCUGCAGUCGAUACGAGCAAACUAGAGUGUUGCAGGGAGACUGGAAUUCCUGGUGUAGCGGUGAAAUGCGCAGAUAUCAGGAGGAACACCGGUGGCGGAAGGCGGGU
Molecule: ribosomal RNA, 204 nt
Filed under: uncultured bacterium
Lineage: Bacteria
Description: partial 16S ribosomal RNA
Rfam family: Bacterial small subunit ribosomal RNA
Source: RNAcentral